UUCAUUUCUUUGCUUCCUUGUAGAGUUGUGCUGCGUCGCGUAAAAUCCAUUUUACAGCUGUAUAUUGUUUUUGUGAAUGAAAGUGCAUAAUUCAUGAAAAUUUUCAGUUGCGAAACUUUUGAGUAGGGCAGGACAGACAAAGAGUUGGUGAUUUUCGGUGUUUGGAGUGUUGCAAGUGUCGCAUAAGUUGGAGGUUUCAGCGUUUAUGAGAAAUAGGGGGCAUGUUGGAACCUGCAUACAAGUGACGAGACGGCGGUUCUGGGAAAAAUUGAGAGAAAUGCUGAUAGAUCUGGGAGUGAGCAUCUUUUACUGAGAGGUCUGAUUGAAUUAUAGAGCCGACUUGAGCCGCAUGUUUGGCGAAGAAAUCUGCACGCUCAUUUGCAGGGAUGCCAAUAUGUGAGGGAGUCCAGAUAUUGGAUUUGAAUUAUUAUUUGGCACUUUGUUAUUUGGUUCCUCAAAUGGGUUAUCUAUUUCCGAUGAAAGGAGUGAUUGCUGGAAUUUUUUUAAAAUGUUUAAACCUUCGGCACUAUUAAGUGAGAUACUUUUGAAAAGGUAGUAUGGUUGAAGACGGAUUGAGAUGGUGUGAUUUGAAUCGGACUGGCAAUGGCGUGAUGGAUUGGAUUUCGUGGAGACGCAACUUUGCUAUAUUUUAAUUUUGUUACUCUUUUGUUUAUUUCUUUAUAAACGCUUAUUUUUGGUGGUUUGUUUUUAUUAAGAGGGGGAAAGGCAUUGUUAAAUUCAUCAUCAGAAAGGACUUGGAAACGGUUUUGGGAUUCUGGAUAUUUUUGAACAACUUCUUUUCGUGAAAGUUUGGAAAGGGCCAUUAUGCUUCUUAUAUUUCUUUCAGAUUUCCGUCUUGGGCACUGCUUUGAGUCGGUUGCAAAAUGAUCAAUACUAUUACAGAGAAUGCAUCGAGGCGAGUUGCAUAUAUCCUUGCACGUAGUUGUUGAUAAACAUUCUUUACAUUUCUGCUCUUUGGGACAUUGAUUGGGGCAUAUAAUAAAUUUACCACAAUUUAAACAUUUUUUCGUCGACCUGCAACGAAUGGCUAUGUGUCCUAACCGUCCGCAGUUUAAACAUAAACGUACAGGGGGGAUAUAUAACUCCGGUGUUAUUUUUGUUCCGCACAUAAGUAUCUCCGUGGGUACACCAUCAUAUAUAAUACCGAUUUUUAUGGUUUCGGAGUAUUCCAUUUUAUUGUUUUUGGAUUUUCUAGUGAAGCGGUAUAUUGAAACAACGUCCAUAUCAUUAUUAGCUUCAAUUUGUUGUUUAAUUGUAAUAGCAGAAAUACUUAUUGGUACAUUCUUGAUUAUAUAGAACCGUUGUACAAAACGUUCUGGGAUAAAGGCUUUGAGAUCGAUUUGGUUUAACUUUGGGUUCGUAGCAAAGGAGUUGGCUGAGGUAGCAUUGUUAAAUGUUAUUCUGUUAUUGUAUCCAAUGUUCUUGCAAGCAUAGUCUGUAAUAUUAAUCUUUUGAAAUCUUGCAUACAGGUGAAGUUCACAAUUCUUUCUUCUUGUGCUAAUUGGCGUUUCUGAGGAAACUAACACAUGAAAAGGACCGGGAUGGUAUUGAGGAUACAAAAUGGUUUCUUUAUUUAGAGAGUUGUAGUUGUGUUGUUCUGCCAUUUCAUUAUUUGAAGUAGGUUCUGUGUUUGUGUUUAUUGGUUUAACAGGUGUUCCAUUUUGGUUUUUGAAAGUUUUAGUUUCUUUGGAAAUGCUGGGAGCUCUUCUUUUAUUUUGUUCCCCCGGAGGAGGAGGUGGAAUAGGCGGAGGAGGAGGUUCCCCUACUCCCCCCAUUUUUCAGUUAAUGAAGGAUUAUUUUAACUUUUGUAAUAAAAAAAAUUGCAAAAGCAGGGAAAAGAAAAAAACUCAAAUUGUUUAUGUUUGUGUGUGUGAAUGCGUUGUUUGUAUAUUUGUUGUUGUUUAGAAAUAAAAGCACAGCGACCAGCGCGAAAAACAGUCUAAUGUCAACAGAUGUUGAUGAGCGACUGUAAGUUCUA
This is a long non-coding RNA of Musca domestica (house fly), 1999 nucleotides long. RefSeq lists it as uncharacterized. The record is from RefSeq and is a predicted model, not a curated record. The transcript is spliced from 6 exons. Lineage: Eukaryota; Metazoa; Arthropoda; Insecta; Diptera; Muscidae.